GAGGCCGAGCUGCGCGCAGCAACCGCGCUGCGGCAUUGGGAGUUCUCUGGUGGGGAUGAAGUAGCGGUCGUCAGAGGCCUGUUGGGAGAUUAUCGCGGGCGUCGGUGGAAGAGAGAGGAAUUCCGCGUUAAAGUGGUGAUCUGUAUGUGGCAUUUUCUCUAUUUUCUCCAUUUUCUCCAUUUUCUCUGUGGGAGAUAGGUUCACGGCUGGAGGUUGGGUUGCUCGUGCUGUAUCUUCUUCCAGAAGCGCCGCAGCGUCUUUCUUGGAGAAGGACGUCUGGCGUCCUGGGAGGCCGAUGGUAGGCAGUGUGUGUGAGAACCGAUCGGCCCUUGGGGUUUGAUAGCAGGUUGAUGAGCAGCUCUCCGUGGGGCUGGGGAUGUCCUUGAAAGGGUUUCCCGCCUCUUCAGUGUAUUCAUGAACGGUCGGUUGCUGUCUGUUGUCUAUGCUCCCGUACCAGCGCGGAGAGGACGCGAAGAGCGUGGCUGG
Molecule: small RNA, 486 nt
Filed under: Histoplasma ohiense
Lineage: Eukaryota; Fungi; Ascomycota; Eurotiomycetes; Onygenales; Ajellomycetaceae
Description: hypothetical lncRNA
Source: RNAcentral